GAUGAACGCUGGCGGCGUGCCUAAUACAUGCAAGUCGAGCGAACAGAUGAGGAGCUUGCUCCUCUGACGUUAGCGGCGGACGGGUGAGUAACACGUGGAUAACCUACCUAUAAGACUGGGGUAACUUCGGGAAACCGGAGCUAAUACCGGAUAAUAUAUUGAACCGCAUGGUUCAAUAGUGAAAGACGGUUUUGCUGUCACUUAUAGAUGGAUCCGCGCCGCAUUAGCUAGUUGGUAAGGUAACGGCUUACCAAGGCAACGAUGCGUAGCCGACCUGAGAGGGUGAUCGGCCACACUGGAACUGAGACACGGUCCAGACUCCUACGGGAGGCAGCAGUAGGGAAUCUUCCGCAAAGGGCGAAAGCCUGACGGAGCAACGCCGCGUGAGUGAUGAAGGUCUUCGGAUCGUAAAACUCUGUUAUUAGGGAAGAACAAAUGUGUAAGUAACUAUGCACGUCUUGACGGUACCUAAUCAGAAAGCCACGGCUAACUACGUG
Molecule: ribosomal RNA, 497 nt
Filed under: uncultured bacterium
Lineage: Bacteria
Description: partial 16S ribosomal RNA
Rfam family: Bacterial small subunit ribosomal RNA
Source: RNAcentral